AUUGAACGCUGGCGGCAUGCCUUACACAUGCAAGUCGAACGGUAACAGGUCUUCGGAUGCUGACGAGUGGCGAACGGGUGAGUAAUGCAUCGGAACGUGCCCAGUAGUGGGGGAUAGCCCGGCGAAAGCCGGAUUAAUACCGCAUACGACCUGAGGGUGAAAGGGGGGGAUCGCAAGACCUCUCGCUAUUGGAGCGGCCCAUGUCAGAUUAGCUAGUUGGUGGGGUAAAGGCCUACCAAGGCAACGAUCUGUAGUUGGUCUGAGAGGACGACCAGCCACACUGGGACUGAGACACGGCCCAGACUCCUACGGGAGGCAGCAGUGGGGAAUUUUGGACAAUGGGCGCAAGCCUGAUCCAGCAAUGCCGCGUGCAGGAAGAAGGCCUUCGGGUUGUAAACUGCUUUUGUCAGGGAAGAAAUCUUCUGGGUUAAUACCUCGGGAGGAUGACGGUACCUGAAGAAUAAGCACCGGCUAACUACGUGCCAGCAGCCGCCGUAA
Molecule: ribosomal RNA, 498 nt
Filed under: uncultured bacterium
Lineage: Bacteria
Description: partial 16S ribosomal RNA
Rfam family: Bacterial small subunit ribosomal RNA
Source: RNAcentral